UGCAAUAUUAUCUUUUGUCGCCUGAUUCUGCCGCUAUUCUUAAUCCCUGUCCCUUCAGCGAAUCGGAUUCGUUGUGUCUGGCGCUGCAGACUCUGCCUCAUGGCCUUGAAGAGCAGUGCAGUUUUCUCGAUUUCUCGAUUUCUCGAUUAUGUUGAAUUGUUCUCCAAGGGCUGCCUGCCAGUGGCUGCCUGCACCUGCUGUCUCCCCUAGUAACACCGGUCUCUUGCUCUCUCCAUCCCCACUCUCACUGUGUUUCUUCAUUGCGAGUGCACACAUGGUGCUCAGAUGCUGGCGUAAGUACAUAAGUUCGAGUGGCUGUCCCUAAUUGGCACUGCUGCACAUUCCAUGUUUAUUAAUAAUUUUCCAGAACUUCUCUUUGCUCUGACCGCCAGGCUUGGAGGUCGCAGCCUUUGUCACUUAACCCUGUGUCGCCUCUAAAGAGUGGCACGGUCAGUGCAUUGGUAGUUUUAAUUAAUGUAAUGCUCCCCGUCACCGUGUUUCCUAAUUGAACUCAUUUGCCGCUGUUCCACAUAAUAAACGCCACUAUUUUGGACAAGCCAAGCCAAGUAUGGGGUUCUUUGCUUUAAUUACAGCUACAACCACCCGCACCACCCCGUCGGCACACACGCACUGGCCGAAAAAUGUCGUUGAUUAAUGGCUUAUGACAGAUAUUUGAGUUUGGGCCUGGACAGAGUAUUACGCAAGCGGAUUUGGAAUGUAAAUAUGCAUUACUCGUAUGAAAAAAGCAGUUGAACCCCCGUAUUAUGCUUUGCAAAUUCCAGUUUUAAUCUCCUUUGCUUACUGCCGAUCCUUAUUGAGGCUAAACAGCAUUAUUGCAAAUUAACUCAACUCCGUUCUGGGUGUAAACAAUGACUAAUUGAUAAGUGUAAUCGGAU
This 896-nucleotide long non-coding RNA is filed under the name Drosophila guanche. Lineage: Eukaryota; Metazoa; Arthropoda; Insecta; Diptera; Drosophilidae. The record is from RNAcentral.